GGGGAUGUAUAUAUUCGACGGGGAGGAAGUUACUACGAGUGCAAGCCGGUGCUGAUCACCGACACCGUAAAAAGCGGCGAUCGACUUAUAAAUGCCAACAAACGUUUGGCACCCCGAUACGCUUUCGCGUAAAUCCGGGGCAUUUUGCAGCUUUCUCUCUUGGUGGAGACUGUAAGGUGAAACAGCAGCCAAGAGGACUUUUUCAAAGCUGGUCACUUUGAAGAGCGGUCCUUAAACAAAUCGACCUUUCUUUAAGCUUUAUCUUGCUAACCGGCAGGCUUAAGGGAGAAAUUUGGUUAGAUAAGCUUGUAGAGACCGUGGUAGUUUCUUUUUCGGACCCGGGGGAAGAGCCCGGCAUCUCCACCA
RNAcentral lists this transfer-messenger RNA (366 nucleotides) under Patescibacteria group. Its description in RNAcentral is "GWB1-45-5 sp001816645 X3 Standard tmRNA". It matches the Rfam family "transfer-messenger RNA". From Rfam's summary of the family: Bacterial tmRNA, also known as 10Sa RNA or SsrA, is named for its dual tRNA and mRNA-like properties. Its role is to liberate the mRNA from a stalled ribosome. RNAcentral also lists the same sequence under 1 other name. The record is from RNAcentral.